Lepus europaeus (European hare) is the source of this 71-nucleotide small nucleolar RNA. RefSeq annotates it as small nucleolar RNA SNORD113/SNORD114 family. NCBI's taxonomy places the organism in Eukaryota, Metazoa, Chordata, Mammalia, Lagomorpha, Leporidae. The record is from RefSeq and is a predicted model, not a curated record. The transcript has a single exon.
AAGGUGGAUGAUGAGCGCUGGUGGCCUGUGACCAGACGGGAUGAAUUCGUGUCCAGAACUCUGAGGUCCAA